GCGGUCAUCGUCUAGUUUGGUCUAGGACGCUGGCCUUCCAAGCCCGCGACCCGGGUUCGAAUCCCGGUGACCGCACCA
This 78-nucleotide transfer RNA is filed under the name Nitrososphaera viennensis EN76. Its description in RNAcentral is "tRNA-Gly (TCC) (tRNA-Gly-TCC-1-1)". It matches the Rfam family "tRNA". From Rfam's summary of the family: Transfer RNA (tRNA) molecules are approximately 80 nucleotides in length. Their secondary structure includes four short double-helical elements and three loops (D, anti-codon, and T loops). Lineage: Archaea; Thermoproteati; Nitrososphaerota; Nitrososphaeria; Nitrososphaerales; Nitrososphaeraceae. RNAcentral also lists the same sequence under 3 other names. The record is from RNAcentral.